This 270-nucleotide ribosomal RNA is filed under the name Stenotrophomonas sp. RNAcentral describes it as "partial 16S ribosomal RNA". It matches the Rfam family "Bacterial small subunit ribosomal RNA", at positions 54 to 305 of the family's 1533-position model. The record is from RNAcentral. Lineage: Bacteria; Pseudomonadati; Pseudomonadota; Gammaproteobacteria; Lysobacterales; Lysobacteraceae.
CGCAGCUACCAUGCAGUCGAACGGCAGCACAGNGGAGCUUGCUCCNUGGGUGGCGAGUGGCGGACGGGUGAGGAAUACAUCGAGAAUCUACUCUGUCGUGGGGGAUAACGUAGGGAAACUUACGCNUAAUACCGCAUACNACCUACNGNUGANAGCCGGGGAUCUUCNGACCUUGCGCGAUUGAAUGAUCCGAUGUCGNAUUAUNCUAGUUGGCGGGGCUANAAGGCCCACCACANGCGACGAUCNUGUAUCUGGUCUGAUAGGAUGAUC